This 869-nucleotide small RNA is filed under the name Pan troglodytes (chimpanzee). RNAcentral describes it as "retained intron". Lineage: Eukaryota; Metazoa; Chordata; Mammalia; Primates; Hominidae. The record is from RNAcentral.
CUAAAUUGGGGAAUAUUUCUUCAUAUCAUUUCACAUUUUGUGCAAAAAGCAAGACGUUGUUGAGAGUUUAAGGACACCACACUGUCAAAUUUGCAUUAUUCCAUGUUGCAUAAAAUGAGUCUGAGAGCGGUUUCAUCGUGGGUCUUAACCCCCAAGGGACAGAGAUGCCAGUCCCCGGGGAUUCCUGGACAGCUACUGAGACCUCUUCCCUUCCUAUAGGAUGGCCAGCCGGAGCAGUGACAAGGAUGGUGACUCUGUCCACACGGCCAGCGAAGUCCCGCUGACCCCACGGACCAAUUCCCCGGAUGGAAGACGCUCGUCCUCAGACACAUCCAAGUCUACAUACAGCCUGACGCGGAGGAUUUCGAGUCUUGAGUCAAGACGUCCCAGCUCUCCACUCAUCGAUAUUAAACCCAUCGAGUUUGGUGUUCUCAGCGCCAAGAAGGAGCCCAUCCAACCUUCGGUGCUCAGACGGACCUAUAACCCCGACGACUAUUUCAGGAAGUUCGAACCCCACCUGUACUCCCUCGACUCCAACAGCGACGACGUGGACUCUCUGACAGACGAGGAGAUCCUGUCCAAGUACCAGCUGGGCAUGCUGCACUUCAGCACUCAGUACGACCUGCUGCACAACCACCUCACCGUGCGCGUGAUCGAGGCCAGGGACCUGCCACCUCCCAUCUCCCACGACGGCUCGCGCCAGGACAUGGCGCACUCCAACCCCUACGUCAAGAUCUGUCUCCUGCCGGACCAGAAGAACUCAAAGCAGACCGGGGUCAAACGCAAGACCCAGAAGCCCGUGUUUGAGGAGCGCUACACCUUCGAGAUCCCCUUCCUGGAGGCCCAGAGGAGGACCCUGCUCCUGACCG